UAAAGUGCGAUAUUUAAUGCGAUUUGCAUGAAUCUGUGAGUCAUCUAAUCUUUGAACGCAACUUGCACCACCAUGUGGUAUGUCUGUUUGAGAGUUGUAACCAAAUGUAACAACGAUUUGGCCAUUGACAGUAAUGUCUGGGCUUGAAAAUAGUAAGAAAAGGAAUAGGUAGUUUCCCAUGUGAGUUAGAGACCUAGUGUCUUGUCAUAUAGGAUCCAACCAAUCCCUACACAUAUAUCUCAUCCAACCUCAAAUCAAACAAGAUUACCCGCUGAACUUAA
This 281-nucleotide unclassified non-coding RNA is filed under the name uncultured fungus. RNAcentral's name for it is "sequence contains ITS1". The stretch from base 1 to 97 matches the Rfam family "5.8S ribosomal RNA", at positions 49 to 154 of the family's 154-position model. Lineage: Eukaryota; Fungi. The record is from RNAcentral.